Molecule: ribosomal RNA, 467 nt
Filed under: uncultured bacterium
Lineage: Bacteria
Description: bacterial SSU rRNA
Rfam family: Bacterial small subunit ribosomal RNA
Source: RNAcentral
GAUGAACGCUAGCUACAGGCUUAACACAUGCAAGUCGAGGGGCAGCAUUACGGUAGCUUGCUACUGUAGAUGGCGACCGGCGCACGGGUGAGUAACGCGUAUCCAACCUGCCCAUGACUUGGGGAUAACCUUGCGAAAGCAAGCCUAAUACCCGAUACGCUUCAUAGACGGCAUCUGAAAUGAAGUAAAGGUUUACGGUUAUGGAUGGGGAUGCGUCCGAUUAGCUUGUUGGCGGGGUAACGGCCCACCAAGGCAUCGAUCGGUAGGGGUUCUGAGAGGAAGGUCCCCCCACAUUGGAACUGAGACACGGUCCAAAACUCCUACGGGAGGCAGCAGUGAGGAAUAUUGGUCAAUGGGCAGAGCCUGAACCAGCCAAGUAGCGUGCAGGAUGACGGCCCUAUGGGUUGUAAACUGCUUUUAUAAGGGAAUAAAGUGAGUCUCGUGAGACUUUUUGCAUGUACCUUAUG